UACGAAGGGGGCUAGCAUUGCUCGGAAUCACUGGGCGUAAAGGGUGCGUAGGCGGGUCUUUAAGUCAGGGGUGAAAUCCUGGAGCUCAACUCCAGAACUGCCUUUGAUACUGAAGAUCUUGAGUUCGGGAGAGGUGAGUGGAACUGCGAGUGUAGAGGUGAAAUUCGUAGAUAUUCGCAAGAACACCAGUGGCGAAGGCGGCUCACUGGCCCGAUACUGACGCUGAGGCACGAAAGCGUGGGGAGCAAACAGG
Molecule: ribosomal RNA, 253 nt
Filed under: uncultured bacterium
Lineage: Bacteria
Description: partial 16S ribosomal RNA
Rfam family: Bacterial small subunit ribosomal RNA
Source: RNAcentral